UACGUAGGGUGCGAGCGUUAAUCGGAAUUACUGGGCGUAAAGCGUGCGCAGGCGGUUUUGCAAGCCGGAUGUGAAAUCCCCGGGCUCAACCUGGGAAUGGCAUUCGGGACUGCAAGGCUGGAGUGCGGCAGAGGAGACUGGAAUUCCUGGUGUAGCAGUGAAAUGCGUAGAUAUCAGGAAGAACACCCGUGGCGAAGGCGGCUCUCUGGGACGGUACUGACGCUGAGACGCGAAAGCGUGGGGAGCGAACAGG
This 253-nucleotide ribosomal RNA is filed under the name uncultured bacterium. Its description in RNAcentral is "partial 16S ribosomal RNA". It matches the Rfam family "Bacterial small subunit ribosomal RNA", at positions 524 to 776 of the family's 1533-position model. The record is from RNAcentral.